GAUGAAGAACGUAGCGAAAUGCGAUAAGUAGUGUGAAUUGCAGACUUUAGUGAAUCAUCGAAUCUUUGAACGCACAUUGCGCCCGCCAGUAUUCUGGCGGGCAUGCCUGUUCGAGCGUCAUUUCAACCAUCAAGCCCCCGGCUUGUGUUGGGGACCUGCGGCUGCCGCAGGCCCUGAAAACCAGUGGCGGGCUCGCUGUCACACCGAGCGUAGUAGAUUUUCAUCUCGCUCAGGGCGUGCUGCGGGUUCCGGCCGUAAAAAGCCUUAUUUACCCAAGGUUGACCUCGGAUCAGGUAGGAAGACCCGCUGAACUUAAGCAUAUCAAUAAGCGGAGGA
RNAcentral lists this unclassified non-coding RNA (336 nucleotides) under soil metagenome. Its description in RNAcentral is "partial contains 5.8S ribosomal RNA, internal transcribed spacer 2, and large subunit ribosomal RNA". The stretch from base 1 to 120 matches the Rfam family "5.8S ribosomal RNA", at positions 35 to 154 of the family's 154-position model. The record is from RNAcentral.